GAGAGAGCGAGCGAGAGAGACAGACAGACAGACGUAGUAACGACAGACGCACCAAUCUUAAAAUGUAGAGAACUAAAAACUCUGCACCAGGGUGGUGACUGCCAUAGCACUGUCCGAGAAGCGAGGGAAGCGAGCAGUGGGAUGAGCGCGACUUGGCUCACCUCCUUGGAGGCUCCCCAGUCACUAACAACCGAAAAAGAUAAACGAAACGUUUAGCUCAUGUGUUGUGGGCACCCUCCUUUUCUCUGUCUCACCGCCAGAAGAUUCUAGAAACUGCUUUGCAGACUCUCCUCGGGGACUUAGAAGGUGGCAUCUGAAACCGAUGAUUAGAUGGGCCAUUCCAUAUGUGAUGCUGGGACGACUGGGUAGCCAUCCGGAAAAAAUAAAGUCCGAUUUAUAGGGGAACUCGUACACUAGGACAAACACGAAGUGAGCUAGAGGUGGGAAUGCAAAAAGAUCAACAAUUCAAAGGACAGUGGGCAAAGACCAUGAACACGCGGUUCACAGAAAACAAUAGCGGAUCUUAAGCACCUGGAAAGAUGAACAACCUUGCUCGUGAACAAACGACUGGAUAUUACGCAGGAGUCUGAUAACAGGACGGUUGGGCAAGGCUGUGGGAAACAGGCGCCGGCUGAGAAAGCUGGCUGUGCUCUUCGAGUCUCCGUCCCCGGCUUAUCAUUCCCAGCUCCCCUGAAGCGACAGUCAGGGGGUCCCUGGGGGGGGGGGGGUUUGCAGGACAUUUGGACAAUGGGCCUGACCGUCACAUCUUGGUGUGGCCCUAACUUUGCAAGCACUUUGGUCUGUGCCCCUUGAUGUGAGCUGGCCAAGGGAGACCCACGUUACCCAAACCCACAAGGAGCUGGUGCAGGAACUAGGACGGGAAAUCAUUUUUUAAGAUAUUUUAUUUAUUCAUCUUUAAGUAGGCCCCACACCCAACAUGGGGCUUGAACUCAGACCCUGAGAUCAAGAGUCCCGUGCUCCACCGACUGAGCCAACCGGGCGCCCCCUAGAAUGGGAAAUCAUUACUUUACCACGGGAAAUACUCCUUUGCCAUGACAGAACAUGCAGCUCUGCAAUCCGAAGCACCUCAUUCUAAAGAUCAAAACGCCCGCAAAGUUAACUUAGUGAGCACACGAUGGCCUCGUAAGCGUGGAAGCGAGCAGAACUGUAGUAGAACACAGUGAAGGUUCUAAGUACCACAAGCCACAAGAGGUUUGCUAACCCCUUUGUAUGUGUACGGAUCACAUGACAUACUAUUUAUUCGUUCAUUUAUUCAACUAAAUAGACUAAGCGUCCAGGUGCCGUUCAAAGCUCUGGAGAUGUAAAUGGUGGACAACACAGACCAAGAUCCCUGCUCUAGAGCUUACACGCUGUUGAGCUAAAAGGCAACAGACACGUGUUUAAACGUGGAGUGAUCCCGUGCUAUGGGAUAAAAGAAAGCCAGGUAAGGGAGAAGCCGGGGCCCCGGGUGGAGGAGGGAAGAUGAAGCCCAGGAGUCUAUGCCGGCUGUUCGUAUUCUCACUUUCUACAUGAGGAGGCUGCAGAGAAGUGACUUGCCUGAGGUACUUUCCCUGUGUUUGGCUCUCCCAGACGUACUGUAUCCCAAACAUGUCUCGUUGUUCCCAAUAAUGAUGUGCAGUAAGUUCUCAUGUCAUCCUCUCCCAGUUUAGAGAUAACGGGUUGAAGGGGGAGGGUGAAUCGAGGAGGCCAAGGUACAUACUAGGUCACACUAGGUGAACCGGGCUUAGAGGCCAGGUAUUCGGAGCCGAUGCUCUUAGGUGCUGCACCAGACGGCGGGAAGACCUGUGUGUCAGACUCAGCAACACUUAGUCUCCUCGUGGGCUGCACACACAAGAAUCGCUCUUCUCGGGGCGCCUGGGUGGCUCAGUCGUUAAGCGUCUGCCUUCCGCUGGGGUCAUGACCCCGGGGUCCUGGGAUCGAGCCCCGCGUCGGGCUCCCUGCUCGGCGGGAAGCUUGCUUCUCC
This is a long non-coding RNA of Zalophus californianus (California sea lion), 1984 nucleotides long. RefSeq lists it as uncharacterized. NCBI's taxonomy places the organism in Eukaryota, Metazoa, Chordata, Mammalia, Carnivora, Otariidae. The transcript has 3 exons. The record is from RefSeq and is a predicted model, not a curated record.